GACGAACGCUGGCGGCGUGCCUAAUACAUGCAAGUAGAACGCAGUUGCGAACGGGUGAGUAACGCGUAGGUAACUGCCUCAUAGCGGGGGGUAACUAUCGGAAACGAUUUCUAAUACCGCAUACUGUGAGAUGGACCUGCGUUGUAUUAGCUAGUUGGUGGGGUGAAGGCUCACCAAGGCCCCGAUACAUAGCCGACCUGGGAGGGUGAGCGGCCACACUGGGACUGGGGCACGGCGCAGACUCCUAUGGGGGGCAGCAGGAGGGAAUCUUGGGAAAUGGACGGAAGUCUGACCGAGCAACGCAGGGUGAUUGAAGAAGGUUUUCGGAUCGUAAAGCUAUGUUGUUAUAGAAGCGGUAACUAGCCAGAAAGGGACGGCUAACUACGUGCCAGCAGCCGCGGUAAUUC
Molecule: ribosomal RNA, 407 nt
Filed under: uncultured bacterium
Lineage: Bacteria
Description: partial 16S ribosomal RNA
Rfam family: Bacterial small subunit ribosomal RNA
Source: RNAcentral